RNAcentral lists this ribosomal RNA (420 nucleotides) under Triticum aestivum (bread wheat). RNAcentral's name for it is "partial small subunit ribosomal RNA". The record is from RNAcentral. Lineage: Eukaryota; Viridiplantae; Streptophyta; Magnoliopsida; Poales; Poaceae.
AUGGUGACAGGAGGUGGCCUUGAUAAUCCUUUCGCCGAAGUAUGGGCGGCAAUCUUGGCCUCCCCUGCUAAAAAAGCCCCAUGACCGGAUGGUUUCAAUGGGAUUUUCUUUCGCAAAUGCUGGGAUAUAAUUAAAGAUGACAUCAUGGCCGUUUUCCACCAAUUCCACGGCCUCUCCGGAACAAACCUUUCGGCGAUCAACACAGCCCUUGUUGCACUGCUGCCCAAAAAAGAUGGCGCCGAGGCAAUGGGUGAUUUCAGACCCAUCAGCCUGAUCAAUUCAAUUGUAAAACUGAUUGCAAAGGUCCUUUCGAUGCGUCUGUCAGAACAGAUUGGGACGCUGAUCUUGCCAGCGCAGAGUGCAUUCCUGAAGACGAGAUGCCUGCAAGACAACUUCCUAUACGUCCAAAAUUGUGUCUGA